AUGGGCACCCGCUUGCCACCUCCACAGCCGGAGGCACAGCCCCUGGGGAGGAGAGCCCUGAUUUGUGUUCCUCUCUCUUCCCCGUUAAUAAUGGGAUUAAAAGCAAGUUGCUGCCAAGGAGAGAGACUGGCUUAAAAAAAUACAUAACCCAAGAACAUUUUAAGAGAAUGAAAAACUUCAGCCAUCAGCACUUUUUAUUUAGACCUGAAUUCAUGAAUUUUAACCAAAUAAACACAGGCAUGUUAGGUAUUAAUAUAUGUACGAUUAUGCAAAACCACUAUUAUGGCUGUAAUGAAAAUUAGAUUCUAACGCUUGUGGUGUUCCAGGAGGGAGGCAUCCACCGGUUUCUAGCGCGGUGACCUCGGAUUGCUGUCACCAUGGUAACAGGCUGCCGUGGGAAUCUGUGGACGCCCGGCUGGUCCUGUCGGGAGGGGUGGGGGUAGGGCCAGGCCGGGCUGGUGCGGAUUUGCCGGCCCCCAUCUGGGCAGAGUGGGGGCACUUUGUCCCCUGGGCAGAGGCCAGCCUGAGCCUCAGAGGAAAGGGGGCCGGUCAUCAGCAGGAGGAGAUUGGUGGGGCAGAAAUAGCAGGUACACUGGGCCCCGCCCCACUCACCCUCAUCUUCCUGUUCCCCCUCAGGCUGCCCCUCCAGGGAGGCGUCCGUGUCAUCUUCAGUAAAUCGUGGCUGCACACCCACACACGCCCAGCCUCUGCUAGGUGCUGGGGACACAAGGAUGAUGGGGCCCUGUGCUCAUGGAGCCCGCACCUCAGAGUGGGAGAAAGAUCCCAGACAGACAGGCACACAGCUGGGCCAUUUCAGAGCCUGCAAGUGUCAUGAAGGCAGCAGAGCCGAUGAGAGGCAGGAGCCUCAGAGGGCAGCGUCCAGAUAAGACCCAGGGCACCUGGCUACAUGAGAACAUCAGACACGCCAGGAACACGUUUACAGCGUGAGCAGGUCCCAUGCGGUAUUUGGGACAUAUUCACACUAAAAAGUUAUUUGUUGCUUUAUCUGAAA
Molecule: non-coding RNA, 1012 nt
Organism: Macaca mulatta (Rhesus monkey)
Lineage: Eukaryota; Metazoa; Chordata; Mammalia; Primates; Cercopithecidae
Source: RefSeq, a predicted model, not a curated record